Molecule: non-coding RNA, 411 nt
Organism: Paramuricea clavata
Lineage: Eukaryota; Metazoa; Cnidaria; Anthozoa; Malacalcyonacea; Plexauridae
Source: the annotation of a GenBank genome assembly
CAAUUCGGGUGCAUCAAAUUCAGAAAUUACUAUAGCGUAGUACUACAGAAAUAUGCUAUUGUGCUUAUAAAUGUUAAAAUAAGGCAUUGUUGUUCUUGUUAUGGCUUCGACAAGUUCGGCAUACGAUUCAGAACGCAAAAUUCUUCCAAUUCUGGGUGCUGGAGACGCAUAUACAACGACGGAGGCGAUUUUCAUCGAACUAUUUAGCUGCUGCAAAUCAACGCGGUGAAUUAACUGAAGAAAUAUCGCGUUCAGUUGAAGAAGUAAGUCCUUUAUACUGUGUCCAAUUAAACAAUAUGUAGUGAGAUACCUUAGACUUAAUAUUCGACUUAUAUUUGUCGUUUAGAUUGAAGGAUUAAAGCAAUUCCUGUGCGAAUAUCGACGCAGUAUUAAGCACUGGACAAAUUCUAC